Molecule: ribosomal RNA, 520 nt
Filed under: uncultured Glomus
Lineage: Eukaryota; Fungi; Glomeromycota; Glomeromycetes; Glomerales; Glomeraceae
Description: SSU rRNA
Rfam family: Eukaryotic small subunit ribosomal RNA
Source: RNAcentral
AGCAGCCGCGGUAAUUCCAGCUCCAAUAGCGUAUAUUAAAGUUGUUGCAGUUAAAAAGCUCGUAGUUGAAUUUCGGGGUCAGUAGAUUGGUCGUGCCACUGGUAUGCACUGGUCUUACUGGCUCCUCCUUCCUGAUGAACCGUAAUGCCAUUAAUUUGGUGUUGCGGGGAGACUGGACUGUUACUUUGAAAAAAUUAGAGUGUUUAAAGCAGGCUAACGUUUGAAUACAUUAGCAUGGAAUAAUGAAAUAGGACGUUCGAUCUUAUUUUGUUGGUUUCUAAGAUUGACGUAAUGAUUAAUAGGGAUAGUUGGGGGCAUUAGUAUUCAAUUGUCAGAGGUGAAAUUCUUGGAUUUAUUGAAGACUAACUACUGCGAAAGCAUUUGCCAAGGAUGUUUUCAUUAAUCAAGAACGAAAGUUAGGGGAUCGAAGACGAUCAGAUACCGUCGUAGUCUUAACCAUAAACUAUGCCGACUAGGGAUCGGAUGAUGUUAAUUUUUAAUGACUCAUUCGGCGCCUUAA